GAAAUGCGAUAAGUAAUGUGAAUUGCAGAAUUCAGUGAAUCAUCGAAUCUUUGAACGCACAUUGCGCCCGCCAGUAUUCUGGCGGGCAUGCCUGUUCGAGCGUCAUUUCAACCAUCAAGCCCCCGGCUUGUGUUGGAGACCUGCGGCUGCCCGCAGGCCCUGAAAAACAGUGGCGGGCUCGCUGUCACACCGAGCGUAGUAGCAUACAUUCUCGCUCAGGGCGUGCUGCGGGUUCCGGCCGUUAAACGACCUUCAUAACCCAAGGUUGACCUCGGAUCAGGUAGGAAGACCCGCUGAACUUAAGC
This 305-nucleotide unclassified non-coding RNA is filed under the name plant metagenome. Its description in RNAcentral is "partial contains 5.8S ribosomal RNA, internal transcribed spacer 2, and large subunit ribosomal RNA". The stretch from base 1 to 105 matches the Rfam family "5.8S ribosomal RNA", at positions 50 to 154 of the family's 154-position model. The record is from RNAcentral.